RNAcentral lists this transfer RNA (74 nucleotides) under Neotoma lepida (desert woodrat). It matches the Rfam family "tRNA". From Rfam's summary of the family: Transfer RNA (tRNA) molecules are approximately 80 nucleotides in length. Their secondary structure includes four short double-helical elements and three loops (D, anti-codon, and T loops). Lineage: Eukaryota; Metazoa; Chordata; Mammalia; Rodentia; Cricetidae. The record is from Rfam by way of RNAcentral.
GGGGAGAUUGCUCAGUGGAUAAGAGCACGUGCUCUGCAAGCAUGAGGACAUGAGUUCAAAUCUCCAUCACACGU